UGGUGGAGUGAUUUGUCUGGUUAAUUCCGAUAACGAACGAGACCUUAACCUGCUAACUAGAUGAGUUUCCUACUGGAUUCUCACGCUUCUUAGAGGGACUGUGUGGUAAAACCUCAAGGAAGUUUAAGGCAAUAACA
RNAcentral lists this ribosomal RNA (137 nucleotides) under uncultured eukaryote. RNAcentral describes it as "partial 18S ribosomal RNA". It matches the Rfam family "Eukaryotic small subunit ribosomal RNA", at positions 1299 to 1458 of the family's 1831-position model. The record is from RNAcentral.